GGAUGUGAUCAUACCAGCACUAAAGCACCGGAUCCCAUCAGAACUUCGAAGUUAAGCGUGCUUGGGCGAGAGUAGUACUAGGAUGGGUGACCUCCUGGGAAGUCCUCGUGUUGCAUUCC
RNAcentral lists this ribosomal RNA (119 nucleotides) under Sorghum bicolor (sorghum). Lineage: Eukaryota; Viridiplantae; Streptophyta; Magnoliopsida; Poales; Poaceae. The record is from RNAcentral. RNAcentral also lists the same sequence under 1 other name.